RNAcentral lists this ribosomal RNA (448 nucleotides) under uncultured bacterium. RNAcentral describes it as "bacterial SSU rRNA". It matches the Rfam family "Bacterial small subunit ribosomal RNA", at positions 67 to 511 of the family's 1533-position model. The record is from RNAcentral.
CGGUAAGUGUAGUAGCAAUAUUAUACGAGAGUGACGUACGGGUGCGUAACACGUAUGCAACCUACCCUUUACAGGAGGAUAGCUCGGGGAAACUCGAAUUAACCCUCCAUGAUAUCAUUUAGUGGCAUCACUGAAUGAUUAAAACUCAGGUGGUAAAGGAUGGGCAUGCGUCUGAUUAGUUAGUUGGUGCGGGUAACGGCCCACCAAGACGAUGAUCAGUAGGGGAACUGAGAGGUUGAUCCCCCACACUGGCACUGAGAUACGGGCCAGACUCCUACGGGAGGCAGCAGUAGGGAAUAUUGGUCAAUGGAUGGAAGUCUGAACCAGCCAUGCCGCGUGCAGGAAGAAGGCCUUCUGGGUUGUAAACUGCUUUUACCAGGGGAUAAAAAGACCGUGCGCGGUUAAUUGAAGGUACCUGGUGAAUAAGCCACGGCUAACUACGUGCCAG